UACAUGGGGUGCAAACGUUGCUCGGAAUUAUUGGGCGUAAAGCGCACGUAGGCGGUUCGUUAAGUCGGAUGUGAAAGCCCUCGGCUCAACUGAGGAAGUGCACCCGAAACUGGCGAGCUUGAGUACGAAAGAGGAUCGCGGAAUUCCCGGUGUAGAGGUGAAAUUCGUAGAUAUCAGGAGGAACACCGGUGGCGAAAGCGGCGCGCUGGAUCCCUACUGACGCUGAGGCACGAAAGCCAGGGGAGCAAACGGG
This 253-nucleotide ribosomal RNA is filed under the name uncultured bacterium. Its description in RNAcentral is "partial 16S ribosomal RNA". It matches the Rfam family "Bacterial small subunit ribosomal RNA", at positions 524 to 776 of the family's 1533-position model. The record is from RNAcentral.